Molecule: ribosomal RNA, 1026 nt
Filed under: Escherichia coli
Lineage: Bacteria; Pseudomonadati; Pseudomonadota; Gammaproteobacteria; Enterobacterales; Enterobacteriaceae
Description: partial 23S ribosomal RNA
Rfam family: Bacterial large subunit ribosomal RNA
Source: RNAcentral
GCCCCGGUAAACGGCGGCCGUAACUAUAACGGUCCUAAGGUAGCGAAAUUCCUUGUCGGGUAAGUUCCGACCUGCACGAAUGGCGUAAUGAUGGCCAGGCUGUCUCCACCCGAGACUCAGUGAAAUUGAACUCGCUGUGAAGAUGCAGUGUACCCGCGGCAAGACGGAAAGACCCCGUGAACCUUUACUAUAGCUUGACACUGAACAUUGAGCCUUGAUGUGUAGGAUAGGUGGGAGGCUUUGAAGUGUGGACGCCAGUCUGCAUGGAGCCGACCUUGAAAUACCACCCUUUAAUGUUUGAUGUUCUAACGUGGGCCCCUAAUCGGGGUUGCGGACAGUGUCUGGUGGGUAGUUUGACUGGGGCGGUCUCCUCCUAAAGAGUAACGGAGGAGCACGAAGGUUGGCUAAUCCUGGUCGGACAUCAGGAGGUUAGUGCAAUGGCAUAAGCCAGCUUGACUGCGAGCGUGACGGCGCGAGCAGGUGCGAAAGCAGGUCAUAGUGAUCCGGUGGUUCUGAAUGGAAGGGCCAUCGCUCAACGGAUAAAAGGUACUCCGGGGAUAACAGGCUGAUACCGCCCAAGAGUUCAUAUCGACGGCGGUGUUUGGCACCUCGAUGUCGGCUCAUCACAUCCUGGGGCUGAAGUAGGUCCCAAGGGUAUGGCUGUUCGCCAUUUAAAGUGGUACGCGAGCUGGGUUUAGAACGUCGUGAGACAGUUCGGUCCCUAUCUGCCGUGGGCGCUGGAGAACUGAGGGGGGCUGCUCCUAGUACGAGAGGACCGGAGUGGACGCAUCACUGGUGUUCGGGUUGUCAUGCCAAUGGCACUGCCCGGUAGCUAAAUGCGGAAGAGAUAAGUGCUGAAAGCAUCUAAGCACGAAACUUGCCCCGAGAUGAGUUCUCCCUGAGACUUAGAGUCUCCUGAAGGAACGUUGAAGACGACGACGUUGAUAGGCCGGGUGUGUAAGCGCAGCGAUGCGUUGAGCUAACCGGUACUAAUGAACCGUGAGGCUUAACCUUACAACGCCGAAG